GUUAGCUGAAGGUUUAGAUGUGUCACAUGAUGAGUUUUCUCUUGAUGCGUUUUCUUGUUAACUCCGUAUCAUUUAAGCUUUGUUUGUAGCUUCUGUUGUUAUCAUGAUUCUUGACAGUAGGGGAGACAUGAGAAGAUAUACACUACAGACUCUUCCAAUCUGAUUAUUUUCACCAGGAAAUUGCUGAAGUUUCUCUUGUCAUUGCUCCCAAGAUAACCCAGGAACAACCUCAUAACUCCAACCAGGGAAUUUUUGCUGCUGCCACUAUGAUCGUGCCGGAUUUCCAGGUGGUGAGCUACCUGAUGAUGCUAGCAAGUUUCUUUCAUUGCCUGAUCUAUUUUGACAGCAGGGUUAAAGAAUUUCGGAACCAGAAGCAAAGACUGACAUUGGCAAAAGCCCAGCUGCAGAAAGAUAUUGGAGAUGCCAAAGCUCAAAAACGAGGAAUCAAGGAUGGUGUGGAGACAUGGCUAGAAGAAGCCGAGCAGGUCCUGAAAGCAGUGCGCACCCUGGAAGAUAAUAUACGAGACCACAAUUGGCGUUUAACUUCACGUCUCAAUUGGAGCCAACGAUUCCACUUAAGCAAUGAAAUAGAACAACAGGAACAAAAGAUUAUCCGCCUCGUAUGGAAUAGCCACUAUGA
Molecule: non-coding RNA, 640 nt
Organism: Theobroma cacao (cacao)
Lineage: Eukaryota; Viridiplantae; Streptophyta; Magnoliopsida; Malvales; Malvaceae
Source: RefSeq, a predicted model, not a curated record